Molecule: ribosomal RNA, 253 nt
Filed under: uncultured bacterium
Lineage: Bacteria
Description: partial 16S ribosomal RNA
Rfam family: Bacterial small subunit ribosomal RNA
Source: RNAcentral
UACGGAGGGUGCGAGCGUUAUCCGGAAUUACUGGGCGUAAAGCGUGCGCAGGCGGUUUUGUAAGUCUGACGUGAAAGCCCCGGGCUUAACCUGGGAAUUGCGUUGGAGACUGCAAGGCUUGAAUCUGGCAGAGGGGGGUAGAAUUCCACGUGUAGCAGUGAAAUGCGUAGAGAUGUGGAGGAACACCGAUGGCGAAGGCAGCCCCCUGGGUCAAGAUUGACGCUCAUGCACGAAAGCGUGGGGAGCAAACAGG